AUUGAUGAAAGGAACAUACCUAUCGUCGGUCUAUUUAGAAGAGUUCUACACGUUUUUACAUUUGAAUUAAAAACACAUAGCAAGCAAAGAGCACAGGGUUUGGAAGAUGGCGGACGACGUAGACCAGCAACAAACUACCAACACUGUAGGAGAGCCUCUGGAUCUCUUCAGGCUCAGUCUGGAUGAACGAAUCUAUGUGAAAAUGAGAAACGACAGAGAGCUUCGAGGCAGGUUACAUGCUUAUGAUCAGCAUUUAAAUAUGAUAUUGGGAGAUGUGGAAGAAACUGUGACAACUAUAGAAAUUGAUGAAGAAACAUAUGAAGAGAUAUAUAAAUCAACCAAACGGAAUAUCCCGAUGCUCUUUGUCCGGGGAGACGGUGUUGUGCUAGUUGCCCCACCAUUGAGAGUUGGUUGAAACAAAGAAUUUAUCCUGUGUGGAAAAUAGGAGAUUUUGUAUGAUUGCCUCUUUAAAUGUAGAAGAUAUUCAAAAGAGAAACCGGCGUAUGUUUUGAUUUUAAGAAAUAACCAAGAAUUCUUCAACUUCUGAAAUAAGUUGAUUUGUAGAUAACUCACAAAUUCUUAAGCUAAAUGGCAUUUUUAUUUUCCUCCAACCCUUCCAAUAAAUGUGAUCACCAAGAUGCAUAAAAAAAACCCAAAAGAAAACACAUAGCAAGCAAGCUGCAAAAUAGCUCACAUUAUAUGAUCCCUUUUAAAAAUGACAUAUAAAUAUUUAAGGAUAGGAAAAAGUCUGGACAGAUGAACUUGUAACUAUUAAAAGUGGGUUCCCCCUGGGGACCUCCCUGGUGGCAC
This is an RNA transcript of Aethalodelphis obliquidens (Pacific white-sided dolphin), 810 nucleotides long. NCBI's taxonomy places the organism in Eukaryota, Metazoa, Chordata, Mammalia, Artiodactyla, Delphinidae. The record is from RefSeq and is a predicted model, not a curated record.